UAUCGAACAAGAACGAGGCUGGGUUACAUUUUCUUUUGUCAAUUUCAACCCUUUCUGAGGUAAACCUUUUAUCAUUUUUUUUACCCUUCGCCCUUCUCCCCCCCCUUGUUUUGACCCACCCGAUUUCUUAUGUGACCCUUGAUUGUGUCAAUGUCACCCUCGCUGAUCAUGUAUGUAGUUUUGUAAGGGAGUUUAACCUUUUAGAUCGUUUUGUAUUGUGUGUAUAUAUAUUUGUUUGUGGUGGUGUUUGACGAUAAGAGACGUGUGUAUAUAUAUAUAUAUAUAUAUACACACAAUAUAUAUAUAUAUAUAUCAUAUGCACAUACGCACACACGUACACACGCACAAGCAUAUAUAUAUAUAUAUAUAUAUAUAAAUGGACAACUGACCGAUAUAAAUAUAUACACGCACACAUAUACAUCCAAACACUUUGUAUAUAUAGACACACAUUUACAUAUAUUUACAUACACAUACCCAUCUCUCUCCCCCUCUCUCUCUAUGUAUCUAUCUAUCCAUCUCUGUAUCUAUCGAUCUGUCUAUCUAUCUAUCUAUCUAUCUAUCUACAUAGAUCUAUCCAUCCAUCCAUCCAUCUAUCUACAUAGAUAGAUCUAUCCAUCCAUCUAUCUAUCUAUCUAUCUAUCUAUCUAUCUAUCUAUCUAUCUAUCUAUCUAUCUAUCUACACAGAUAGAUCUAUCUAUCCAUCCAUCUAUCUAUCUAUCUACAUAGAUCUAUCUAUCUAUCUAUCUAUCUAUCUAUCUAUCUAUCUACAUAGACAGAUCGAUCCAUCUAUCUAUCUACAUAGAUAGAUCUAUCCAUCUAUCUAUCUAUCCACCUAUAUAUCUGUCUGUCUGUCUAUCUUGACAAUAACAAUAGAUGAUGUGGGUUGUGUAUUUCUAGAUACACCCAAACAAUCAAACAAACAAAAUAAAAGGCACGAUCGCAAUGCCUUUGAUUAUCGCUUUGCUGGAAUUGGGUCGACCUAGGGCUAAAACAGCUAACGACCUGGCGAGACAACAAGGCUGACUAUAUAGACAAAAAUAGAUAGAUAGAUAAAUCAUAUGUAACUACCUUUACUAGUAGGACAGAUGAAAGAUAGGUAGGCGAGGUAGAUAAACAACACCAGCUAUUUAGCUCACUAGACAGAUAUAGUGAAAGAUAAAUAGAUAGAGAGAGAGAGACACACACACAGACAAAGAGAUAUGUAGAUAGAGACAAACAGAUUGAAUGAGAAAGACAAGAACGGAGAGAUAGACAGAUAUGUGUAUAGAGUGGGGAAAGGCAGAUAGCAAGCUAUAUAGGCAUACAGUUAGCUGUGUGUUUGUAUUUAUCUAGCUGUGUAGAUAGAUAGAUAUAGAUAGAUAGGUAGGUAGAUAGAUAGAUAGCCAAACACAAAGAAAUUGAUAGACGUGCAUGGAGGUAGAUAGAUAGAUAAAUAGAUAGGUCGACUUUGCCUUUCAUCCUUUCGGGGGUCGAUAAAUUAAGUACCAGUUACGCACUGGAGGGUUCGAUGCAAUCGACUUAAUACCUAUGUCUGUCCCUGUUUGUCCCCCUCUGUGUUUAGCCCCUUGUGGGUAAUAAAGAAAUAGGUAGAUAGAUAGAUAGAUAUACAAACACAUAGAUAGAUAGAUAGAUAGAUAGAUAUACACAUAUGUAGCCAGACAGGGGUAGGUAGAUCGAUAGAUAGAUAGAUAGAUGGAUGGAUGGACGGAUAGAUAGAUAGAGAGAGAGAUAGAUAUGCAAACAUAGCCAGACAGAGGUAGAUAUAUAGAUAGAUAUACAAACACAUAGACAGAUAGAUAGAUAUACACAUAUGUAGCCAGACAGGGGUAGAUAGAUAGAUAUAUGGAUGGACGGAUAGAUAGAGAGAUAGAUAGAUAGAUAGAUAUACAAACACAUAGAUAGAUAGAUAGACAGAUAGAUAGAUAGAUAGAUAGAUAUAGAUAGAUAGACAGAUGGAUAGAUAGAUAGAUAGAUAGAUAGAUAGAUAGAUAGAUAGAUAGACAGAUGGAUGGAUAGAUAGAUAGAUAGAUAGAUAGAUAGAUAGAUAGAUAGACAGAUAGAUAGACAGAUGGACAGAGAGAUACAGAGGCAGACAAACACCCAUUUAUGCUUGCUUGCUUGUCUCUUUAAAUGUCUAUUUAUCCGUUAAUGUUUAUUUAGUGAGCAAGCUAUCUCUCCAUUCUGCUAGUUUUAUCUUUCUAUCAAUCAAGCCAUCUGUUCAUUCAUUAGUCUUUCUAUCGAUCUGUCUCCUUCCAUACCCUGUCUUCUCUCAAUCUCUCUACUAAGCUACUGGUUUAGCCCAAGGACGACUCUUUCGAGCUGCCUUACGAAUGAUCAGAACCAAUCUAACCGUGACCACCCCCCCCUUUUUUUUUUGUUAAAGUAUACAUAGAAAUACAUUGGUUAUUUAUUGUUGUUUAGACCAGGAGGCAUUCCACCCGUGACUGUCUAGCUGUUUUUUUAGAUCAAGACUGUAUUUGGUUCUUUAUAGGUUCUCUUUUUUUCUUUUUAUUAAUUGACGAUGUGUGAUUUGAGGGAGAUGCAGCUGCUGUUUCUAGCACAUCGAGCGAGGGACCCGAUAAAAAGAUGCUUCCUUUGGCGUGUCUUGGGUCCAACUUUGUUCGUCUAAUAUCUAUAUAUACAUGUGUGUUUAAUAUAUAUAUAUAUAUAUAUAUAUGUAUAUAUAUAUAUAUAUAUAUAUAUAUAUAUAUAUAAAAUUAAUUAAGGGUAGAAAUUGAUAUUAGUCAAUUAAAACCAGUGGUCUAGCAUAUUAAAAAAGAAUCCGAAGAUUAAAAUAUUUAUAUAUAUCCAAUUAAGGACUGGACACGAAAAGUGGACAGUCAGCAUGCUAGAUAUAGACGUCAAAUCGCCAUUCUCCACAAAAGAUUAUGCUCUCAAAUAAAACUUGUGCUGAGUUGUGGAGAAUGGCGAUUUGACGUCUAUAUCUAGCAUGUUGACUGUCCACUUUUCGUGUUCAGUCCUUAAUUUAUAUAUAUAUAUAUAUAUAUAUAUUGGACGUUAAAUGAUAAUGAUGAUAUAUAUAUAUAUGUGUGUGUAUAUAUAUAUGUAUGUCUAUAUGUAUCUCUAUAUACAUGUGUGUGUGUGUAUAUGUAUGUAUGUUUAUAUGUAUCUCUCUCUAUAUAUAUGUGUGUGUAUAUAUAUAUGUAUGUCUAUAUGUAUCUCUCUAUAUAUAUGUGUGUGUGUAUAUAUGUAUGUUUAUAUGUAUCUCUAUAUAUAUGUAUGUUUAUGUAUAUGAAUGUGUAUUUUAUAUGUGUGUAUAUAUAUAUGUAUAUGUAUGUUUAUAUAUACAUGUAUAUGUAGAGAGAGAGAGAGAGAAAUGUACAUGUACAUAUAUACACACAUAUACGCAUAUUUUUUUUUUGCCAAUUUCAGCUCUGGAGUUUGCGGCCAUGCUGGGGCACCGCUGUUUAUGUCGACCUCCCCUACUUUAUCUAUAAAUCUCUUUCUCUCUAUCCGAAACUCUUCGAAGUCACAGUAAUUUUUGUGUUCAUGGUUAAUAAUGCCUGUGUAUUCCUCUGUGUGUGUGUGUAUAUAUAUAUAUAUAUAUAUAUAUACACGCAUAUAUGUAUGUAUGUAUGUAUGUAUGUAUGUAUGUAUGUAUGUAUGUAUGUAUGUAUGUACGUAUAUAUAUAUGUAUGUAUGUAUGCAUGUAUGUAUAUACGCAUGUAUGUGUAUGUAUGUAUGUAUGUGUAUACGCAUAUAUGUAUGUAUGUAUGUACGUAUAUAUGUAUGUAUGUAUAUACGGAUGUAUGUAUGUAUGUAUGUAUGUAUGUAUAAGUGUGUGGGUACGUAUGUAUAUAUCCAUAUAUAUAUAUAUGUGUGUGUGUGGUAACUAUAUAUAUAUAUAUAUAUAUCGUAUAUAACGUAUGUAUAUAUCUAUAGCCAUAUAUAUAUGUGUGUCUGGUAACUAAUGUGUCUAUAUAUGAUUUUGUGUACAUGUGUGUAUAUAUGUGCGUGUCUGUGUUUAUAUAGGUAUAUGAUGUGCGUGUGUGAGUGUACAUAGAUGUGUGUAUAUCUGACUGUUAAUCUGUGUGUUUGUGUGUAUACGUAUGUCUGUGACUAUAUGUGUUCGUGUGUGUAUAUGUCCGUCUAUAUCUCUGCCUCAUAAUCUAUCUGGGUGUUUGUGUGUAUACGUGUGUAUAUAGGUAUAUAUAUAUAUAUAUGCAUGUGUGUAUAUAGUUAUAUAUGUGCAUGGAUAGAUUUCUAUAUCUGUUAAUCUAUCUGGGUGGUUGUGUGUAUACGUGUGUAUAUAGGUAUAUAUAUAUGCAUGUGUGUAUAUAGGUAUAUAUGUGUGCAUGGAUAGAUUUCUAUAUCUGUUAACCUAUCUGGGUGCUUGUAUGUGUAUAUAUAUAUAUAUAUAUAUAUAUAUAUGCAUGUGUGUAUAUAGUUAUAUAUGUGCAUGGUUAGAUUUCUAUAUCUGUUAAUCUAUCUGGGUGCUUGUGUGUAUACGUGUGUAUAUAAGUAUAUAUAUAUAUAUAUAUGCAUGGGUAUGUGUGUGUGUGUUUUCUAUAUCUGUUAAUCAGUCUGUGUGUGUGUGUGUGUGUAUUUCUCUGUCUUUCUAUCAACCUGUCUAUGUGUGUGCAUAUGUAUGUACGUACGUGUGUGUGUGUGCUCGCGCGUGUGUAUGCGUAUAUCUUCACUCUGUGUGUGUGUGUGUGUAUGUAGGUGUCUGUCUGUCUGUACUUCAAUUUCUCCAUCUAUCUCUUCCGUUUUCGUCUCUCUCUAUCGAUCCUUCCUACCCUACAUAACUAACUAGCUAUCUGUUCGUCGUUCGAUCGAUUUUUGUCUAACCCACCUAUCUAUUCAUCUAUCAGGCUCUCUUCACACAACCAGACAUUAAAUUUAUAUCACAGACUAAUACACACACACACACACACACACACACAAAUAUACAGGCACACACACAUACACACAAAUAUACAGGCACACACACACACACACAAAUGUACAGACACAUACACACACACACACAUACACACAAAUAUACAGACACAUACACACACACACACAUACACACAAAUAUACAGGCACACACACACACAAAUGUACAGACACAUACACACACAUACACACAAAUAUACAGGCACACACACACACACACACAUACACACAAAUAUACAGGCACACACACACACAUACACACAAAUAUACAGGCACAUACACACACACACACACACUUACACACAAAUAUACAGGCACAUACACACACACACACACACUUACACACAAAUAUACAGGCACAUACACACACACACACACAUACACACAAAUAUACAGGCACACACACACACUCACACAUACACACAAAUAUACAGGCACAUACACACACACACACACGACCUCAAUUUAAUUGCUAUCAUACACAUUCAAUUUAUAUUGCUCACAAUACUCAUUCAUACAUGUAUGAAUACACACACACACACACAUGUAUGUAUAUAUAUAUAUAUAUAUAUAUAUAUAUACAUCAUCAUCAUCAUCAUCGUUUAACGUCCGUUUUCCAUGCUAGCCUGGGUUGGACGGUUCAACUGGGGUCUAGGAGCACCGCCUUUAAUCGAGCAACUCGACUCCGGGACUUAUUCUUGGACUUAUUCUUUUGUAAGCCCAGUACUUAUUCUAUCGGUCUCUUUUGCCGAACUGCUAAGUGACAGGGACGUAAACACACCAGCAUCGGUUGUCAAGCGAUGCUAGGGGGACAAACACAGGCACACAAACAUAUACACACACACACACACAUAUAUAUAUAUAUAUAUAUAUAUGCGACGGGCUUCUUUCAGUUUCCGUCUACCAAAUCCACUCACAAGGCUUUGGUCGGCCCGAGGCUAUAGUAGAAGACACUUGCCCAAGGUGCCACGCAGUGGGACUGAACCCGGAACCAUGUGGUUGGUAAGCAAGCUACUUACCACACAGCUAUAUAUAUAUAUAUAUGUAUAUUUAUAUAUGAAUAUAUAUGUAUAUGCAUGCUUAUAUGUGUGUGUAUAUAUAUAUAUAUAUAUAUAUAUAUAUAUAUAAGUAUAUAUACACAUAUGCCAGGUGUGUAACCAGUCCACUUGUGCGUACCUUUUCCUUCUUAGUUAGUUAGUUAGUUAGUUAGUUAAUUUGGCUCAAAAGCAAAUAGCAAGGCCAUGUAGGGGGACAUGGAGUUAAGUACAGGGUGGUGUUCAUGUAAAGAGUUCAGGCCACUUGAGGUCCAGGGAGGCUUUGAACAAAGCGGUCGUCGGCAUCUUCACCAUCUCGUCUGGCAGCUUGUUCCACGGAUCCGCAACCCGGACGGAGAAAGCUCCUCUCCUUCGAUUGAGAUGAAAUCGUCGCAGGUAGUGUUCUUUGAACACUAAUCUCUGCGAAGACCUGUUGAGGCAAGUGAAGUCAAAACCGAAAUCAAAAUCAAAGUGAGAUUCGAUGAUGGGCACGAGCACCAUACGAGCGUGAUUGUUGACAGAGCAGCUAACCGGCUUCCGUGCCAGUGGCACAUAAAAGGCACCAUUCGAGUGGGAUUGUUACCAGCUGUGCCUUACUGGCACUUGUGCCCCAUGCUACUAGGGUGCUAAGAGCACCAUCCGAACGAGAUCGUUGCCAGAGCGGCUAACUGGCUUCUGUGCCGAUGGUAUGUAGGUGGUAUCUAGGCGGCGAGCUGGUAGAAACGUUAGCACGCUGGGCGAAAUGCGUAACCGUAUUUCGUCUGCCAUUAUGUUCUGAGUUCAAAUUCCACCGAGGUCGACUUUGCCUUUCAUCCUUCCGGGGUCGAUAAAUUAAGUACCAGUUACGCACUGGGGUCGAAAUAUAAUCGACUUAAUCCGUUUGUCUGUCUUUGUUUGUCCUCUCUGUGUUUAGCCCCUUGUGGGCAGUAAAGAAAUAGGUAUGUAGGAGGCACCAUUCGAGCAGGAUCGUUACCAGCAUCACCUUACUGGCACCUGUGCCAUUGGCAUGUGUAAAAAAUUCGAGCGAGGUCGUUGCCAGUACCGCCUGACUGGCCCAAAAAUUCGGGCGAGGUCAUUGCCAGUACCGCUUGACUGGCCCAAAAAUUAGAGCGAGGUCGUUGCCAGUACCACCUGACUGGCCCCCGUGCCGGCGGCACAUAAAAGUACCCACUACACGAUUUGACUGUAGACUGGGCGAACCAGAUGGUUGCACCAGGCUCCAUUUUGAUCUGGCAGUUUCUACAGCUGGAUGCCCUUCCUAACGGCAACCACUCCAUGAGUGUAGUGGGUGCUUUUACAUGCCACCGGCACAAGGGCAAGUCAGGCGUGCUGGCAAUGGCCACGCUCAAAUGGUAUUUUUUACGUGCCGACGAAACGUUAGCACGUCGGGUGAAAUGCUUAGCGGUAUUUCGUCUGCCGUUACGUUAUGAGUUCAAAUUCCGCCGAGGUCGACUUUACCUUUCAUCCUUUCGGGGUCGAUAAAUUAAGUACCAGUUACGCACUGGGGUUGAUGUAAUUGACUUAAUACCUAUGUCUGUCCUUGUUUGUCCCUUCUAUGUUUAGCCCCUUGUGGGUAAUAAAGAAAUGGGUAUUUUUUACGUGCCACCUGCACAGGAGCCAGUCCGGCGGCACUAGCAAUGACCUCGUUCGAAUGUUUUUUCAUGUGCCAACAGCACAAGUGCCAGUAAGGCGACACUGGUAACGAUCACGCUUGAAUGGUGCUUUUUACGUGCCACCAGCACGGAAACUGGUUUGCUGCUCUGGUAACGAUCACACUUGGAAUGGUGCUCUUAGUGCUCCACUAGCACGGAUGCCAGUCAUUGAAUUUGAUUUCGAUUUCACUUGCUUCGUCUCAUUUACUCUUUACUCUUUUACUUGUUUCGGUCAUUUGACUGCGGCCAUGCUGGAGCACCGCCUUUAGUCGAGCAAAUCGACCCCGGGACUUAUUCUUUGUAAGCCCAGUACUUAUUCUAUCGGUCUCUUUUGCCGAACCGCUAAGUGACGGGGAUGUAAACACACCAGCAUCGGUUGUCAAGCAAUGCUAGGGGGACAAACACAAACACACACACAUAUACAUACACAUACAUAUAUAUAUACAUAUAUACGACAGGCUUCUUUCAGUUUCCGUCUACCAAAUCCACUCACAAGGCAUUGGUCGGCCCGGGGCUAUAGCAGAAGACACUUGCCCAAGAUGCUACGCAGUGGGACUGAACCCAGAACCAUGUGGUUGGUUAGCAAGCUACUUACCACACAGCCACUCCUGCGCCUAUUUGCAUCAUUUAGUAAACAUUUUGAUGCUUAUAAAAACAAAUCUUAGUUUGUUUAUACUGUUGUGUCUGGGGAGAGUCAUUUUGUUUUUGUGCCUAAUAAUUUAACACACUCACCGGUAAAAUUUCCACUUAUUUCUUAUUUUUAUUUCCCUAAAAUAUUCAUUGCGGCUUGCAACCUUUUCAAUAGUCUUGACUCUGUCCCUUAUUUACACUGCGUUCCUUUUUGUUUGUGCGCAUGUGUGUGGGUCAGUGUGUGUGUGCCUAUGCAUGCAUGUAUGUAUGUAUGCAUGUGUAUGUAUAUAUGUGGGUGUAUGCAUAUGUAUAUAUGUAUCUAUGUGUGUGCAUCUGUAUGUAUGUAUUCUGUAUAUUCAUGUGCUUGCAUCCUUAAAUCCAUAAAAAUCCUUUAAAAUGUUUUAGCCCGAAGGCUGCGGCCAUGCUGGGGCACCACCGCUGUGUUUGUGUAUUUUCUAUGUAUGUGUGUGUGUGAGCAUGUGUUUGUAUAUGUAUGCACCUCUUUCUGCUUGUGUGUGUGUUUUGCAACUAUGUACCAUGUUUGUAUGUAUGGAUGUGCAUCUCUAUAUGUGUGGACCCGUGUCUCCAUAUGUGUCCUUGUGUGGAGUAAAGUGUGUGUGUGUGUGUAUAUAUAUAAUAUAAUAAUAAUAAUUGUGUACAGUGCUCAGGUGCACUACAACUCAUCUAAAGUGUAUAUAUAAUCAGGUGUAGUUUCGGCAGAUUUCGGAAAGCAUGAGGGCCUUAAAGGAUGCAGUGUCAUGGUAGUCAACAACUGACGCAGGCAGUUUAUUCCAUGCUUCAGCAACUCUGAGCGUGAAAAAAUGUUUCCGAAAGUCAUGGAAGGAGCUGUGCUGUUUUCUGACUUUGUAGGCAUGUCCACGUGUGUUGGACACAUGGAGAUCAAAAAGGUGUUCAGUGUUGUUGUUGUUGUUGGUGAGGUGGUUGAUAACUUCGUGUGUGUCUACCAAGUCCGUCGCCAGACGCCGGAGCUUCAGUGAAUCCAUGCCCAGGGAAACAAGGCGCUCAGAAUAUGGUAGGUGUCUGAUGGAGGGUAUGCGUUUGGUUGCACGUCUCUGGACAGAUUCCAGGAGGUCAAUGUUCUGAGCAAGAUAGGGGUUCCAAACUGAUGAUGCGAAUUCCAAGUGUGGUCGUACCAUAGCUAUAUACAGUUGUGCUCCAGUCUCCAUUUGUGUAUGUGUACUUGUCUAUUCUUAUAACCUACGUACCUAUCCGUCUGUAUGUUGUUUAUAUUUAUACACAUAUUUAUAUAUUUUCUUUUUUUAUUCUUUUACUCUUUUACUUGUUUCAGUCUUUUGGCUGCGGCCAUGCUGGAGCACCGCCUUUAGUCGAGCAAAUCGACCCCGGGACUUAUUCUUUUGUAAACCUAGUACUUAUUCUAUCGGAUCUCUUUUGCCGAACCGCUAAGUUUACUCUUUUACUUGUUUCAGUCAUUUGACUGCGGCCAUGCUGGAGCACCGCCUUUAAUUGAGCAAAUCGACCCUGGGACUUAUUCUUUUGUAAGCCCAGUACUUAUUCUAUCAAUCUCUUUUUGCUGAACCGCUAUAUUUAUAUUUUGUAAGCCCAGUACUUAUUCUAUCGAUCUCUUUUUGCCGAACCGCUAUAUUUAUAUAUUUUCUUUUUUUUUCUUUUUCUUUUUCUUCCGCAGAGCAUUGCAACUGAUAGUUUCUCCACCUGGUUGGUUCCCUUGGAAACAGAUCAUUUCGAUGCUUGUACCUGACGUUUCAUUUCUUCCUAACUCCGAAUCGCAGCAUUGCACCAUCAUCAAGGGGUCAAACGGCCGAAAUCGAACUCACCUGACAUGCGCACCAAAACGCUGAGAAGCCGAUAUCCCGUUGCCGACGGCGAGGAGCACGACGAGAGUGCACUGACCCCAAAAACCAUGAGACUGGCUGAACCCGCAGCCAGCACUGGCUUGGAUACCGGUGCCGGUACCGGUGGCGAGCUACCGUUCGAGGACAAAGCCGAUGGGGCAAACUCGAGUGACCAAAACGUAGCUGGUUGCGCUAACGACAACACUGCAACACCGGACACUGGAAUUGCAGCGAUCGACAACAGAAUUGCAGCAAUCGAUGCAAGCAUCAAGACACCGUACCCCAACCUUGCAACAGCCUACACCUCUGUUGCAGCAACCUAUUCUAGCGUUGCACCAAACUACACCAGUGUCGCAACGACGGGUGCGAACAUUGCCUCGGGCGACGCCGCUGGCGUUACGACGUCCAUGGCGGCGGCCGUUCCAGAUGUCGAUGACAAGAUCUGCCAGAUGUGCGGCAAGAUGCACAACAAGGACGACAUCUUCAAGUACCUGUCGGUGCUUCCGGAAGACGAGCGCUAUAAGUGCCACUACUGCUCGGAGUCGUUUUCGUACAGCUGCCUCUUUGCCGAGCACAUGCGGACGUGUACGCCUGCACAGGGUGCACUCGGAGCCGCGUCACCCGUCAUCGCGCCGCCAGACCCGAUGAAAUGCUGCGGCGGCGGCGGAGUCGGGGUAAACUCGGUCGGGGGUUGCAGUGGUGGUUGCAGUGGUGGUGGCGGGAGUGGUGUUUGCAGUGGUGGUGUUGGUGGUUGUGGUGGCAGUAGCAGUGGUGGUUGCGGUGUUGGUGUUGGUGUUGGUAGUAGUUGUGGUGGUGGUGGUGUUGGUGUCGGUGGUGGGUGCGGCAGGGGGAGAAUGUGCUGUGUGGCUGCUCCCAGUUGCUGCGGAAAUUCCUCCAUGGGUAACACAGUGUGCGUUGCCAACGCAACAGACAUGGCACCGACGCCGCCACCACCGCUGCCGCAACCAAAAAACACACUGAUGCCACCAUCGCAAACAACAACAACAACAACAGCAGCAGCAACCACUGCCAUGGGUUGCAGCGGAUCUCAGAACCUCCACCAUUCGUCAAAGUUGCACCACCACCACCAUCAUCAUCACCACCACCAUCACCACCCGCAUCACCAACAUCACCAGCAUCACCAACACCACCCACACCACCAUCAGCAUCACCAGCACCAGCAUCAUCAACCGCAUCAGUGUCAGCAAAACUCGCGGCGGAUGUACGACGUGGUCGGUUUCAAGUGCGAGGUGUGCGGCCACGUCCUAGCGAACCACGUGGCACUGAAGAGCCACGUGGAUCGGGAGCACAACGGGAAGGGCCCCACUGAAUGCGAAUUCUGCCUCAAGCGGUGCGCGUCGACCAUCGAUCUGGUGCUGCACAAGAGAAUGCACUCGACGGCCACCACGACCGGCGCAGCCGCCUCAUACAAAUGCCAGUGCUGCGACCGCCAGUUCCACUGCCGGUCACAGCUCGUCGAACACGAAAAGACCCACACGGGCACUGCGCCAUAUCGGUGCGAGUUCUGCAACCGCGGGUUCUCGUAUCGCUCGAACCUUAUUGUACACAAGCGCGUCCACGACAGUAAGAGAAGUCAUUUCGAGUGUGACCAGUGCGGGCAAACUUUCCAACACGGGGCCCAGCUCACGCGGCACAAGCUGGUGCACACGACGGACAAGCCUCUGGAUUGUCGGCAUUGCGGGAAGCGAUUUGUGAUAUACAGCAAGCUCAUUGAACACAUUAAUCAGUCGCACACUCCCAACACAAGCCGAGCGUAACCGAUUUUUCAACCUGGGCCCCUGUUUUACCCAACCGCUGAUGCAGCACAGAGGCACCAUAACGGUAUAUAUACGACAGCCCUUUUAAGCCAAACCCCUAACUCACACUGAACGAACUUGUCUGUUAUGCACCCUUGACUGCAAUUCAGGUAGAACACAGCCCUUUUAAAUGUGAACCCUGAACUACACACAGCUGCCAUAAAUGCCCACCUAAAAUUCAUACAAAAUAUGGCCCUUUCAAACAAGGACCGUGAACUACAUGUCACACAUGCCUAAUUGAAAGUCAUACAAAAUAUGGCCCUUUCAAACAAGGACCGUGAACUACAUGUCACACAUGCCUAAUUGAAAGUCAUACAAAAUACGGCCCUUUCAAACAAGGACCCUGAACUGCAUGUGUUACAUGCACCCAGCUAAAAUUCAUGCAAAAUAUAGCCCUUUUAAACAAGGGCCCUGAACAUCUGUCACACAUGCCCAAUUGAAAGUCAUACAAAAUAAGUCCCUUUCAAACAAGACCCGAACUACAUGUUACAUACACCCCCGAUGAAAAAUCAUCCAUAACUACCCUUUUAAAAAAGAGGAAAACCUGAUCCCUACCUGUUUAUCAUACAGCCCCCAACAACAGUCCAUUCCAAUAUGGCCCUUUCAAAUGAGAUCCCCUGAGCCAAAACUAAUCUGUCACAUGCUCUCAGCUUCAAUUCAUACACAACAACCCUUUCAAACUAAAAUCCCAAAACCCACACGUUUAUUACACACACUCUACACCAAUUCAUAUGCAGGAGCUCUGUUGAAAAAAAUCCCUGAACCACACUUAUCUGUUAUACACACCCAACUGCAAUUCCUACACAAUAGCCCUUUUAAACCAGACCCCUGAAUAAUAUAUAUCACAAUACCCCAAGAGCAAUUCACACACAAGACCCCUUUUAAACCAGACCUCCUAAAUAAUAUAUAUCACAAUACCCCAACAGCAAUUCACACACAAGAGCCCUUUUAAACCAGACCCCUGAAUAAUAUACAUCUGUCACAAUGCCCCAACUGCAAUUCACACACAACAGCCCUUUUAAACCAGACCCCUGAAUAAUAUACAUCACAAUACUCCAACAGCAAUUCACACACAAGAGCCCUUUUAAACCAGACCCCCUGAAUAAUAUACAUCACAAUACCCCAACUGCAAUUCACACACAACAGCCCUUUUAAACCAGACCCCUGAAUAAUAUACAUCUGUCACAAUACCCCAACUGCAAUUCACACACAAGAGCCCUUUUAAACCAGACCCCUGAAUAAUAUACAUCUGUCACAAUACCCCAACUGCAAUUCACACACAAGAGCCCUUUUAAACCAGACCCCUGAAUAAUAUACAUCUGUCACAAUACCCCAACUGCAAUUCACACACAAGAGCCCUUUUAAACCAGACCCCUGAAUAAUAUACAUCUGUCACAAUACCCCAACUGCAAUUCACACACAACAGCCCUUUUAAACCAGACCCCUGAAUAAUAUACAUCUGUCACAAUACCCCAACUGCAAUCCACACACAACAGCCCUUUUAAACCAGACCCUUAAUAAUAUACAUCUGUCACAAUACCCCAACUGCAAUCCACACACAACAGCCCUUUUAAACCAGACCCCUGAAUAAUAUACAUCUGUCACAAUGCCCCAACUGCAAUUCACACACAACAGCCCUUUUAAACCAGACCCCUGAAUAAUAUACAUCUGUCACAAUACCCCAACUGCAAUCCACACACAACAGCCCUUUUAAACCAGACCCCUGAAUAAUAUACAUCUGUCACAAUGCCCCAACUGCAAUUCACACACAACAGCCCUUUUAAACCAGACCCCUGAAUAAUAUACAUCACAAUACCCCAACUGCAAUCCACACACAACAGCCCUUUUAAACCAGACCCCUUAAUAAUAUACAUCUGUCACAAUACCCCAACUGCAAUUCACACACAAGAGCCCUUUUAAACCAGACCUCUUAAUAAUAUACAUCUGUCACAAUACCCCAACUGCAAUUCACACACAACAGCCCUUUUAAACCAGACCCCUGAAUAAUAUACAUCUGUCAUAAUACCCUUAUUUCAAUUGACAUAUGUCACACUCUCACAACUCCCUAGUCAUACAGAACAGCCCUUUUAAAGCACAAUGACCCCUGAGCAAUGCACCUCUCUCACACUAACCCAACUGUACUUCAAUCACCCUCUGUCACACACAACACAACCCUUUCAAACUGCACUCACCAGGAACACCUUAGCAGUAAAUACAUGUAAAACAGCCCCUAAUCCUUUCAAGUCACACUGGUUUGGACAUGGUUGUUGGUGAUAAGGACCAAAAAUGUAGUGGCUUUCUGCAAUCUAGGUUCAAAUCAGCCCUUUCCACUUAUGGUUCUUUGGGGGUUCUUUUUUUUUUACCUUAGAAAAAGCUGAGUCUGUUGUGAGCUUUUGGGGUGGGUCUCCUCCCUUUGUCUCAGAGCUACUGAAAAACAUAACUAAAAAGGUGGAAAAACAAAGGGUUCUCUUUGCUGCCCUUCAUUCCCUACUACAAAAAUGCAUACUAGAA
Molecule: long non-coding RNA, 14378 nt
Filed under: Octopus vulgaris (common octopus)
Lineage: Eukaryota; Metazoa; Mollusca; Cephalopoda; Octopoda; Octopodidae
Source: RNAcentral